GCGCCUUUAGCUCAGUUGGUAGAGCAGCUGACUCUUAAUCAGCGGGCCCUGGGUUCGAGUCCCUGAAGGCGCA
Molecule: transfer RNA, 73 nt
Organism: Papillibacter cinnamivorans DSM 12816
Lineage: Bacteria; Bacillati; Bacillota; Clostridia; Eubacteriales; Oscillospiraceae
Rfam family: tRNA
About the family: Transfer RNA (tRNA) molecules are approximately 80 nucleotides in length.
Source: Rfam